This 196-nucleotide ribosomal RNA is filed under the name uncultured bacterium. Its description in RNAcentral is "partial 16S ribosomal RNA". It matches the Rfam family "Bacterial small subunit ribosomal RNA", at positions 338 to 525 of the family's 1533-position model. RNAcentral also lists the same sequence under 2 other names. The record is from RNAcentral.
CCUACGGGAGGCAGCAGUAGGGAAUCUUCGGCAAUGGGGGCAACCCUGACCGAGCAACGCCGCGUGAGUGAAGAAGGUUUUCGGAUCGUAAAGCUCUGUUGUAAGAGAAGAACGUGUGUGAGAGUGGAAAGUUCACACAGUGACGGUAACUUACCAGAAAGGGACGGCUAACUACGUGCCAGCAGCCGCGGUAAUA